UAUAUAUAAGUGUUAAAAUUAUGCACAAAAAAUUUUGAAUUUUUAAGAUUUAAUUUAUAUUAAAAUAUAUAA
This 72-nucleotide transfer RNA is filed under the name Plectrocnemia sp. 1 YW-2021a. Its description in RNAcentral is "tRNA-Gln". Lineage: Eukaryota; Metazoa; Arthropoda; Insecta; Trichoptera; Polycentropodidae. The record is from RNAcentral.